This 650-nucleotide long non-coding RNA is filed under the name Homo sapiens (human). Its description in RNAcentral is "plaque enriched lncRNA in atherosclerotic and inflammatory bowel macrophage regulation". The record is from RNAcentral. Lineage: Eukaryota; Metazoa; Chordata; Mammalia; Primates; Hominidae.
GAGGCUCAGAGAGGGGAAGCGCCCAAGGUCACACAGCUGGGAUGUGGCAGAGCUGGGGUUCCAGCUCCUGUUCCCAUUGCUGGACAGCUGCCACAUCUGGCACCCAAUUUAGGACCCCGCGGGGAGGCCCAAGCCCCGGGGGUGGCGGGGGAUCCUAGAGGAAAGUGGCAAGGCCAGGACCCUGGAGCAGAGCCAGAAAACUGAGGCUCUGAGAGAUGAAGCUACUUGCCAAGGUCACGCAGCACAGUCACAUCCUACUGAACAUCAUCCUGUUCUCUGGGUGGAAUGUCACCAUCGCCCAGGUGGGGAUUUUUGUGUGUUUUGUUCACUGCUGUACACCCAGCCCCCAGCACAGCGCCUGUCCAGGACAAGUGCCCAGUAAACACUUGGGAAGCAAUGCAAGCGUCCUCCCAGCAGCUCCUGCAAACAGACCCCCGACCCAAGCCCUUCCUUCUGCCUCCACUGCCACCACUGCUGCUCAUCUCUGCUGGCACAGAAGUCUCUUCCCUGGUCUUCCAGAAAUCCCCUCUCCACACUCAGCCAGAGGGAGCUAUUAAAACUGUGGGCCAGCCCACAUCAGUCCACAGCAAAGUCCUCUCUAAGGGAUCUCUGUUGCUUGGAGAAUAAACCCUCGGAUUCCUUCCUUGGCU